UACGAAGGGGGCUAGCGUUGUUCGGAAUCACUGGGCGUAAAGCGCACGUGGGCGGAUCCUUAAGUCGGGGGUGAAAUCCUGGAGCUCAACUCCAGAACUGCCUUCGAUACUGAGGAUCUCGAGUCCGGGAGAGGUGAGUGGAACUGCGAGUGUAGAGGUGAAAUUCGUAGAUAUUCGCAAGAACACCAGUGGCGAAGGCGGCUCACUGGCCCGGUACUGACGCUGAGGUGCGAAAGCGUGGGGAGCAAACAGG
RNAcentral lists this ribosomal RNA (253 nucleotides) under uncultured bacterium. RNAcentral's name for it is "partial 16S ribosomal RNA". It matches the Rfam family "Bacterial small subunit ribosomal RNA", at positions 524 to 776 of the family's 1533-position model. The record is from RNAcentral.